Chiloscyllium plagiosum (whitespotted bambooshark) is the source of this 320-nucleotide non-coding RNA. Lineage: Eukaryota; Metazoa; Chordata; Chondrichthyes; Orectolobiformes; Hemiscylliidae. The record is from RefSeq and is a predicted model, not a curated record.
UUAUCUAGCUUCCUCAGUCUGAGAUGUGUAUUUUUGCCAUGUUUAGUAUUUUACUCCUACGUUCACAGAUCUUUUUGGAAAUGGAUUGUCCACUGCUGCCCAACUCCUGACCGUAUGCUGCUCCAUUAUCAGGUUAUUUUUUCCACAAUAUCUUUGACUGUCAAGAAUUUUUGCCAAUAAUACCAGUGAUCAUUGCCAAAGUCGUGUUGCUUGUGGAGAGGGUGAUGUUUGACUUCCUUGUACAGCUGCAGUUUGAAUAGUGAAGGCGCUCCCACAACGUGGUUGGAUCCUGCAAGUUUCCCCAAUGAGCAUAGUCCAUC